RNAcentral lists this ribosomal RNA (440 nucleotides) under uncultured bacterium. RNAcentral describes it as "partial 16S ribosomal RNA". It matches the Rfam family "Bacterial small subunit ribosomal RNA", at positions 338 to 795 of the family's 1533-position model. The record is from RNAcentral.
CCUACGGGAGGCAGCAGUAGGGAAUAUUGCACAAUGGGGGAAACCCUGAAGCAGCAACGCCGCGUGGAGGAUGAAGGUUUUCGGAUUGUAAACUCCUUUUAUUAGAGAAGAUAAUGACGGUAUCUGACGAAUAAGCACCGGCUAACUCCGUGCCAGCAGCCGCGGUAAUACGGAGGGUGCAAGCGUUACGCGGAAUCACUGGGCGUAAAGAGCGCGUAGGCGGGGUAGCAAGUCAGAUGUGAAAUCCUAGGGCUUAACCAUAGAACUGCAUUUGAAACUGUGAGUCUAGAGUGUGGGAGAGGCAGGUGGAAUUCUUGGUGUAGGGGUGAAAUGCGUAGAGAUCAAGAGGAAUACUCAUUGCGAAGGCGACCUGCUAGACCAUAACUGACGCUGAUGCGCGAAAGCGUGGGGAGCAAACAGGAUUAGAUACCCGGGUAGUC